This 253-nucleotide ribosomal RNA is filed under the name uncultured bacterium. RNAcentral describes it as "partial 16S ribosomal RNA". It matches the Rfam family "Bacterial small subunit ribosomal RNA", at positions 524 to 776 of the family's 1533-position model. The record is from RNAcentral.
UACGUAGGGUGCAAGCGUUGUCCGGAAUUAUUGGGCGUAAAGAGCUCGUAGGCGGUUUGUCGCGUCUUCUGUGAAAACCCGAGGCUCAACCUCGGGCCUGCAGUGGGUACGGGCAGACUAGAGUGCGGUAGGGGAGAUUGGAAUUCCUGGUGUAGCGGUGGAAUGCGCAGAUAUCAGGAGGAACACCGAUGGCGAAGGCAGAUCUCUGGGCCGUAACUGACGCUGAGGAGCGAAAGCAUGGGGAGCGAACAGG